RNAcentral lists this ribosomal RNA (1825 nucleotides) under Trapezionida stia. RNAcentral describes it as "SSU rRNA". It matches the Rfam family "Eukaryotic small subunit ribosomal RNA". Lineage: Eukaryota; Metazoa; Arthropoda; Malacostraca; Decapoda; Munididae. The record is from RNAcentral.
AUGUGUCAGUACAAACUAAACCAAAGUGAAACCGCAAAUGGCUCAUUAAAUCAGCUAUGAUUCAUUGGAUCUGUACACCCAGUUUUCCUUGGAUAACUGUGGUAAUUCUAGAGCUAAUACAUGCACAUAUAGUCCCUGACCUGACGGAAAGGGCGCUUUUAUUAGUAUCAAAACCGGUCUGGCUUCGGUCUGUAAAACCAGUUGUGAUGACUCUGGAUAAUUUAAGCUGAGCGCACGGUCUUUGCACCGGCGCUGCUUCUUUCAAGUGUCUGCCUUAUCAGCUGUCGAUUGUAAGUUAUGUGCCUACAAUGGCUAUAACGGGUAACGGGGAAUCAGGGUUCGAUUCCGGAGAGGGAGCCUGAGAAACGGCUACCACAUCCAAGGAAGGCAGCAGGCACGCAAAUUACCCACUCCCAGCUUGGGGAGGUAGUGACGAAAAAUAAUGAUGCGAGACUCAUCCGAGGCCUCGCAAUCAGAAUGAGUACACUUUAAAUCCUUUAACGAGGAUCAAUUGGAGGGCAAGUCUGGUGCCAGCAGCCGCGGUAAUUCCAGCUCCAAUAGCGUAUAUUAAAGCUGUUGCGGUUAAAAAGCUCGUAGUUGGAUUUCAUGAUUGGACUGAAGGUUCGCCGUGAGGCGUACAAAACCUAUCAGAAUCCGAACAAAGCUAUCACAACAAGUUUGUGUAUGCCCACACUAGCUCACACGGGGUGCUCUUAAUCGAGUGCCCCGCGUGGCUGGUAUGUUUACUUUGAAAAAAUUAGAGUGCUCAAAGCAGGCCAACUGAAUGGCCUGAAUGUCUAUGCAUGGAAUAAUAUAAAAGGACCUCGGUUCUAUUUUAUCCGGGCUUUUUGUGGAACCCGAGGUAAUGAUUAACGGAGACAAAUGGGGGCAUUAGUACUGCGACGCUGAGGUGAAAUUCUUGGACCGUCGCAAGACUAACUAAAGCGAAGCAUUUGCCAAGAAUGUUUUCAUUAAUCAAGAACGAAAGUUAGAGGUUCGAAGGCGAUCAGAUACCGCCCUAGUUCUAACCAUAAACGAUGCUGACCAGCAAUCCGUCGAUGUUAUACCAAUGACUCGACGGGCAGCUUCCCGGGAAACCAAAGUCUUUGAGUUCCGGGGGAAGUAUGGUUGCAAAGCUGAAACUUAAAGGAAUUGACGGAAGGGCACCACCAGGAGUGGAGCCUGCGGCUUAAUUUGACUCAACACGGGAAACCUCACCAGGCCCAGACACUGGCAGGAUUGACAGAAUGAGAGCUCUUUCUCGAUUCAGUGGGUGGUGGUGCAUGGCCGUUCUUAGUUGGUGGAGCGAUUUGUCUGGUUAAUUCCGAUAACGAACGAGACUCUGGCCUAUUAACUAGUCGACGGAUUUCCAUGAAUUGGUGUCCAGUUCGCAACUUCUUCUUAGAGGGAUAAGCGGUAGUCCUAGCCGCACGAGAUUGAGCAAUAACAGGUCUGUGAUGCCCUUAGAUGUUCUGGGCCGCACGCGCGCUACACUGAAGGGAUCAGCGUGUUUUCCCCCUCCGAGAGGAGGGGGUAACCCGAUGAAAACCCUUCUUGAUAGGGAUUGGGGCUUGCAAUUGUUUCCCAUGAACGAGGAAUUCCCAGUAAGCGCAACUCAUUAGUUUGCGUUGAUUACGUCCCUGCCCUUUGUACACACCGCCCGUCGCUACUACCGAUUGAAUGAUUUAGUGAGGCCUUCGGACUGGCACUCUUGGAUGUCUGGCUACAGUCUCAUAAUUAAAGAGCAGUAGUUAGUGCCUUGAGCUGACGGAAAGAUGUCCAAACUUGAUCAUUUAGAGGAAGUAAAAGUCGUAACAAGGUUUCC